Salvia miltiorrhiza (redroot sage) is the source of this 96-nucleotide small nucleolar RNA. RefSeq annotates it as small nucleolar RNA snoR31/Z110/Z27. The transcript has a single exon. The record is from RefSeq and is a predicted model, not a curated record. Lineage: Eukaryota; Viridiplantae; Streptophyta; Magnoliopsida; Lamiales; Lamiaceae.
AUGAGAAGAUGAUGAAACAUGAAUAAUCUUAGGACACCUUCUGACGCAGACCGACAAUGCUGCGUAUGAGAAAGAUUUUUCGUUUCUGAUUCAUCU